RNAcentral lists this ribosomal RNA (109 nucleotides) under Spirochaetota bacterium. RNAcentral's name for it is "Spirochaetes bacterium (wastewater metagenome) partial 16S ribosomal RNA". It matches the Rfam family "Bacterial small subunit ribosomal RNA", at positions 1 to 106 of the family's 1533-position model. The record is from RNAcentral. Lineage: Bacteria; Pseudomonadati; Spirochaetota.
AUUACGGAGAGUUUGAUUCUGGCUCAGAACGAACGCUGGCGGCGCGUCUUAAACAUGCAAGUCGGACGGGAACCUCGGUGCUUGCAUUGAGGGGAGAGUGGCGAACGGG